UUAAGCGACUAAGCGUACACGGUGGAUGCCCGGCAGUCAGAGGCGAUGAAGGACGUGCUAAUCUGCGAUAAGCGUCGGUAAGGUGAUAUGAACCGUUAUAACCGGCGAUUUCCGAAUGGGAAACCCAGUGUGUUUCGACACACUAUCAUUAACUGAAUCCAUAGGUUAAUGAGGCGAACCGGGGGAACUGAAACAUCUAAGUACCCCGAGGAAAAGAAAUCAACCGAGAUUCCCCCAGUAGCGGCGAGCGAACGGGGAGCAGCCCAGAGCCUGAAUCAGUGUGUGUGUUAGUGGAAGCGUCUGGAAAGGCGCGCGAUACAGGGUGACAGCCCCGUACACAAAAAUGCACAUAUUGUGAGCUCGAUGAGUAGGGCGGGACACGUGGUAUCCUGUCUGAAUAUGGGGGGACCAUCCUCCAAGGCUAAAUACUCCUGACUGACCGAUAGUGAACCAGUACCGUGAGGGAAAGGCGAAAAGAACCCCGGCGAGGGGAGUGAAAAAGAACCUGAAACCGUGUACGUACAAGCAGUGGGAGCCUCUUUUAUGGGGUGACUGCGUACCUUUUGUAUAAUGGGUCAGCGACUUAUAUUCUGUAGCAAGGUUAACCGAAUAGGGGAGCCGAAGGGAAACCGAGUCUUAACUGGGCGUUAAGUUGCAGGGUAUAGACCCGAAACCCGGUGAUCUAGCCAUGGGCAGGUUGAAGGUUGGGUAACACUAACUGGAGGACCGAACCGACUAAUGUUGAAAAAUUAGCGGAUGACUUGUGGCUGGGGGUGAAAGGCCAAUCAAACCGGGAGAUAGCUGGUUCUCCCCGAAAGCUAUUUAGGUAGCGCCUCGUGAAUUCAUCUCCGGGGGUAGAGCACUGUUUCGGCAAGGGGGUCAUCCCGACUUACCAACCCGAUGCAAACUGCGAAUACCGGAGAAUGUUAUCACGGGAGACACACGGCGGUGCUAACGUCCGUCGUGAAGAGGAAACAACCCAGACCGCCAGCUAAGGUCCCAAAGUCAUGGUUAAGUGGAAACGAUGUGGGAAGGCCCAGACAGCCGGAUGUUGGCUUAGAAGCAGCCAUCAUUUAAAGAAAGCGUAAUAGCUCACUGGUCGAGUCGGCCUGCGCGGAAGAUGUAACGGGGCUAAACCAUGCACCGAAGCUGCGGCAGCGACACUGUGUGUUGUUGGGUAGGGGAGCGUUCUGUAAGCCUGUGAAGGUGUACUGUGAGGUAUGCUGGAGGUAUCAGAAGUGCGAAUGCUGACAUAAGUAACGAUAAAGCGGGUGAAAAGCCCGCUCGCCGGAAGACCAAGGGUUCCUGUCCAACGUUAAUCGGGGCAGGGUGAGUCGACCCCUAAGGCGAGGCCGAAAGGCGUAGUCGAUGGGAAACAGGUUAAUAUUCCUGUACUUGGUGUUACUGCGAAGGGGGGACGGAGAAGGCUAUGUUGGCCGGGCGACGGUUGUCCCGGUUUAAGCGUGUAGGCUGGUUUUCCAGGCAAAUCCGGAAAAUCAAGGCUGAGGCGUGAUGACGAGGCACUACGGUGCUGAAGCAACAAAUGCCCUGCUUCCAGGAAAAGCCUCUAAGCAUCAGGUAACAUCAAAUCGUACCCCAAACCGACACAGGUGGUCAGGUAGAGAAUACCAAGGCGCUUGAGAGAACUCGGGUGAAGGAACUAGGCAAAAUGGUGCCGUAACUUCGGGAGAAGGCACGCUGAUAUGUAGGUGAAGUCCCUCGCGGAUGGAGCUGAAAUCAGUCGAAGAUACCAGCUGGCUGCAACUGUUUAUUAAAAACACAGCACUGUGCAAACACGAAAGUGGACGUAUACGGUGUGACGCCUGCCCGGUGCCGGAAGGUUAAUUGAUGGGGUCAGCGCAAGCGAAGCUCUUGAUCGAAGCCCCGGUAAACGGCGGCCGUAACUAUAACGGUCCUAAGGUAGCGAAAUUCCUUGUCGGGUAAGUUCCGACCUGCACGAAUGGCGUAAUGAUGGCCAGGCUGUCUCCACGAGACUCAGUGAAAUUGAACUCGCUGUGAAGAUGCAGUGUACCCGCGGCAAGACGGAAAGACCCCGUGAACCUUUACUAUAGCUUGACACUGAACAUUGAGCCUUGAUGUAGGAUAGGUGGGAGGCUUUGAAGUGUGGACGCCAGUCUGCAUGGAGCCGACCUUGAAAUACCACCCUUUAAUGUUUGAUGUUCUAACGUGGACCCGUGAUCCGGGUUGCGGACAGUGUCUGGUGGGUAGUUUGACUGGGGCGGUCUCCUCCUAAAGAGUAACGGAGGAGCACGAAGGUUGGCUAAUCCUGGUCGGACAUCAGGAGGUUAGUGCAAUGGCAUAAGCCAGCUUGACUGCGAGCGUGACGGCGCGAGCAGGUGCGAAAGCAGGUCAUAGUGAUCCGGUGGUUCUGAAUGGAAGGGCCAUCGCUCAACGGAUAAAAGGUACUCCGGGGAUAACAGGCUGAUACCGCCCAAGAGUUCAUAUCGACGGCGGUGUUUGGCACCUCGAUGUCGGCUCAUCACAUCCGGGCUGAAGUAGGUCCCAAGGGUAUGGCUGUUCGCCAUUUAAAGUGGUACGCGAGCUGGGUUUAGAACGUCGUGAGACAGUUCGGUCCCUAUCUGCCGUGGGCGCUGGAGAACUGAGGGGGGCUGCUCCUAGUACGAGAGGACCGGAGUGGACGCAUCACUGGUGUUCGGGUUGUCAUGCCAAUGGCACUGCCCGGUAGCUAAAUGCGGAAGAGAUAAGUGCUGAAAGCAUCUAAGCACGAAACUUGCCCCGAGAUGAGUUCUCCCUGACCCUUUAAGGGUCCUGAAGGAACGUUGAAGACGACGACGUUGAUAGGCCGGGUGUGUAAGCGCAGCGAUGCGUUGAGCUAACCGGUACUAAUGAACCGUGAGGCUUAACCU
Molecule: ribosomal RNA, 2888 nt
Filed under: Escherichia coli
Lineage: Bacteria; Pseudomonadati; Pseudomonadota; Gammaproteobacteria; Enterobacterales; Enterobacteriaceae
Description: bacterial LSU rRNA
Rfam family: Bacterial large subunit ribosomal RNA
Source: RNAcentral